Molecule: ribosomal RNA, 164 nt
Filed under: Schleinitzia novoguineensis
Lineage: Eukaryota; Viridiplantae; Streptophyta; Magnoliopsida; Fabales; Fabaceae
Description: Schleinitzia novo-guineensis 5.8S ribosomal RNA
Rfam family: 5.8S ribosomal RNA
About the family: 5.8S ribosomal RNA (5.8S rRNA) is a component of the large subunit of the eukaryotic ribosome. It is transcribed by RNA polymerase I as part of the 45S precursor that also contains 18S and 28S rRNA. Functionally, it is thought that 5.8S rRNA may be involved in ribosome translocation.
Source: RNAcentral
AGAACGACUCUCGGCAACGGAUAUCUCGGCUCUCGCAUCGAUGAAGAACGUAGCGAAAUGCGAUACUUGGUGUGAAUUGCAGAAUCCCGUGAACCAUCGAGUCUUUGAACGCAAGUUGCGCCCCAAGCCGUUAGGCAGAGGGCACGUCUGCCUGGGUGUCACGC